AUUGAACGCUGGCGGCAUGCUUUACACAUGCAAGUCGAACGGUAACAGGCCUUCGGGCGCUGACGAGUGGCGAACGGGUGAGUAAUGCAUCGGAACGUGCCCAGGGGUGGGGGAGUAACGCAGCGAAAGACUGUGCUAAUACCGCAUAUUAUCUGAGGAUGAAAGACGGGGGACGUAAGCAGCAAUGUUUGGCCUCGCGCCUUUGGAGCGGCCGAUGUCAGAUUAGGUAGUUGGUGGGGUAAGGGACCUACCAAGCCGACGAUCUGUAGCUGGUCUGAGAGGACGACCAGCCACACUGGAACUGAGACACGGUCCAGACUCCUACGGGAGGCAGCAGCGGGGAAUUUUGGACAAUGGGCGCAAGCCUGAUCCAGCAAUGCCGCGUGCAGGACGAAGGCCUUCGGGUUGUAAACUAGCUUUGUUACAGAACGAAAAGGACUCUGG
This 444-nucleotide ribosomal RNA is filed under the name uncultured bacterium. RNAcentral's name for it is "bacterial SSU rRNA". It matches the Rfam family "Bacterial small subunit ribosomal RNA", at positions 30 to 460 of the family's 1533-position model. The record is from RNAcentral.